This 920-nucleotide long non-coding RNA is filed under the name Monodelphis domestica (gray short-tailed opossum). RNAcentral describes it as "lncRNA (ENSMODG00000041500.1)". Lineage: Eukaryota; Metazoa; Chordata; Mammalia; Didelphimorphia; Didelphidae. The record is from RNAcentral.
AUGCACUCCAACAUUCCUUCGACAAAUUUCGAGCUAAUGGGAAGGGAAUUGAGAAGAUGUCUAGCACAAAAAUGUUAUGGGAGGAAUUUUAGGACUCCUGCUCAGGGAUUUGUUGUUAGCAGUUUAGGGGCACAUAAUUCUCGAUUUCUGGGACUUGCCUUCCAUGAUGAGGAGGAAAAGGAAAGUGUGAGAAACAGAAUGAGAGAGAGUGCCCAGGAUAGCCUGAAACCUUAUACAUUACAGGAGGACUCAUCUUCAAGAAAACUCAGUGCUGCUGAGAGUACCCAAGAGGAAAAAGAGGAGGACUCAUCUUCAAGAAAACUCAGUGCUGCUGAGAGUACCCAAGAGGAAAAAGAGGUGAGCAGAAAUAACAGUCACAAAUUGGAGUGUAGGGAAGACACAUUUGGACAAUUAUUCUACAAAGUGGCUACCCAUUCUUUGUCACUGAAUUAUCACUCUACAAUAGGAAUAAAAGCCCCGAGUUACUAGGAUCAAGAUGAUUCUUGACCUUUCUGGUCAUCAUUCAACUGUAUUUACCCUCCUACCAAGCACAAAAAAGCUUUGUGAGGAAUUUUAGGACUCCUGCUCAGGGAUUUGGUGUUAGCAGUUUAGGGCACAUAAUUCUCGAUUUCUGGGACUUGCCUUCCAUGAUGAGGAGGAAAAGGAAAGUGUGAGAAACAGAAUGAGAGAGAGUGCCCAGGAUAGCCUGAAACCUUAUACAUUACAGGAGGACUCAUCUUCAAGAAAACUCAGUGCUGCUGAGAGUACCCAAGAGGAAAAAGAGGUGAGCAGAAGUAACAGUCACAAAUUGGAGUGUAGGGAGGACACAUUUGGACAAUUAUUCUACAAAGUGGCUACCCAUUCCUUGUCACUGAAUUAUCACUCUACAAUAGGAAUAAAAGUCAAAAGUACUUUGACCA